UAUAAUUUAUUGUGAUAUUUCAGAAUUACCAUGGAGUCUCAGAACAGCUCAAUAGAUCUAGACCACAGUUCUGUAUUAAGCAGUACUAAGAAUGAUGAUGUUGAAGAUAUAUCUGACGACGAAGCAAUUAGUGAUGGGUCUAGUGAUACAGAGGGACCAGAGGCGAGUGCAGAGAUCAGUAAUGAUAAUUACGUCACCAGUUUACAAACCCCAGCUAAAUCCGGUGGGUUGGUGUACGCUGAAGGAGACAGACACGAGGAUAGAACCUUGGAACUGUCUGCUGAUGAUAAAUCUGUGAGUAGAGCUAGUCAGCUCCUUACCUCAGAUUCAAGUUUAACAUUCUCCAGGGACAAUACCAUCAGGGAAACCACGGUAUCUGAACUAAGUCGAGAGCUGGCGGACCACAGUAGAAAACUACAAGAUGAGGUUGUGGAAGGGUUCGGAGAAAAGGAGGAGAAACAAAUUCUUGAGAACGGGACGGAGGUUAAUCAAGUUGAGGAAAAGAAGUUUGAAAGAAGCAAUCAGGAUGAGGUUGUAUCUAAGCGACCCUUCGAUGAGAUGUUGGAGUCCCAGAUUAGUCCCGGUGAGUUGUCGGAUGUCGAGGAUAACUUAAUUGGAGUUGAAGACGCUCUCCAGCAUCUUCAUAAUUUUUCCGGUGCAGGUUACCCACGGUAUGAGGGGAUGGUAAAUAAGAAAGCAAGAAUAUCUUCUCCUGAUCUACCAGACACAGUUCAAGUUCUAGUCUCUUCAGUUUCAGGAGCCAAGAUUUACCUGAUUGGUACAGCUCACUUCUCCAAGGAAAGUUGUGAGGACGUGAGUAGGAUAAUCCAGGCAACCCAACCUGAUAUAGUUAUGGUGGAACUCUGUAAACAGAGAACAAAUAUCCUGCAUCUUGAUGAGGAAACUAUUCUGGAGGAGGCACAAAACCUUAGUUUAGAACGAUCUCUAGAGGUUCUCCGGCAGCAGGGUACACUACAGGGGGUCAUGUAUCUUCUUCUUCUAUCCAUGUCUGCACAUAUCACUAAGGAGCUGGGAAUGGCUCCAGGAGGGGAAUUUCGAACUGCAUAUAAGGAAGCACAGAAAGUUCCAAGGUGUAUGGUUCAUCUUGGUGAUAGACCCAUAGGAAUUACUCUGCAAAGGGCUCUGGGGGGACUAACUGUCUGGCAGAAAAUCAGACUAGGAUUCAAUAUUCUUACCAGCAAGGACACCAUAACGAAGGAGGAGGUGGAGAAGUGCAAGCAGAGGGAUCUGCUGGAGAAUAUGCUGGCGGAGAUGGCAGGGGAGUUCCCAGCCUUAUCCAGGGUGUUUGUAUCUGAACGUGACUUGUUCCUAGCUCACUCCCUCCAGAUGUCAGCUGACUCCCUUCCGUCCUACUCUGCUGGGAGUGGAGUACCCUCCCCCCGGGUAGUGGUUGGAGUAGUUGGUAUAGGACAUGUUCCAGGGAUAGUAGCGAACUGGGGGAAAGUUACGAAAGAGCAGAUCAGGGAUAUAGUUCGUGUGGAUCCUCCGACUAAAACAGAACGAGUUGUCAAGUUCGCAGUCCGCUUUAUGCUUAUCGGAUCUUGUUGCUACGGAGCCUAUAGACUAGGACGGAUUCCUGUAUCUAGGUUCCUGUUGGCUAGAUGAAACCGUUGUCUUCCGUUCCUCAGCCUUGCAUUUUAAACCAUUCCUUCUCACCACAGAUCAUAGUUGCAAAUUAGUAUUUUUGGAUUUAUUAAAAAUUAAAAAAAUAAAUACUGCGACUUAGCACACUGCACUUGUGCAACUGAUUUAAUCAGUUGUGAUUUGAUUAUUUUGGACUAGGUUUUUUUUCGUAAACAACUUGUUAAAUUUAUAAAGAAUUUAAUUUAUAUUUUCAUUAAGUAUAUAAUUUAAUUUAGUUCGACGAUGAAUAUGUAAAUCUUGUUUACUUCAGA
Molecule: RNA transcript, 1916 nt
Organism: Eurytemora carolleeae
Lineage: Eukaryota; Metazoa; Arthropoda; Copepoda; Calanoida; Temoridae
Gene name: traB domain-containing protein
Exons: 17
Source: RefSeq, a predicted model, not a curated record